CCUACGGGAGGCAGCAGUGAGGAAUAUUGGUCAAUGGGCGUAAGCCUGAACCAGCCAAGUCGCGUGAGGGAUGAAGGUUCUAUGGAUCGUAAACCUCUUUUAUACGGGAAUAAAGUGCGGGACGUGUCCCGUUUUGUAUGUACCUUAUGAAUAAGGAUCGGCUAACUCCGUGCCAGCAGCCGCGGUAAUACGGAGGAGCCGAGCGUUAUCCGGAUUUAUUGGGUUUAAAGGGUGCGGAGGCGGCCUUUUAAGUCAGCUGUGAAAUUCUGUGGCUCAACCAGAGAAUUGCCGUUGAAACUGGGAGGCUUGAGUACGUGUGAGGCAGGCGGAAUGCGUGGUGUAGCGGUGAAAUGCUUAGAUAUCACGCAGAACCCCGAUUGCGAAGGCAGCCUGCCAAGCCAUGACUGACGCUGAGGCACGAAAGCGUGGGGAUCAAACAGGAUUAGAUACCCUAGUAGUC
Molecule: ribosomal RNA, 460 nt
Filed under: uncultured bacterium
Lineage: Bacteria
Description: partial 16S ribosomal RNA
Rfam family: Bacterial small subunit ribosomal RNA
Source: RNAcentral